UCUCCUCAAACCCUAAAUGUCUGUACAAACUCUAAUAAUGUCGCCGCUUUCACCCACCACCGCACCGCUCUCGCAAAAUCCUCAGCUGCGAUUCUCACACUAUAACCGUACCGCACUCGCAAAUUUAAAUCCGUUGUUCUGAGGAAACAAAGAUUUGAUUUUUGGAAAAACUAUCUUUUGCUCAAGGUUAUGUGGAUUUCGUUUUUGAACUAUCACCGUCUCACUCUCUCUGAAUCCGUAAUUCCAAGAUAUACUGUUAUAUAGGUUCAAAGAGCUAUACAUCCCCAUCUAGAAUAAUGGUAAGGUUAUGUUUGCUUGAUUGAUCAAUUACACUCUACUUCACUUGUCUUUGUUAUUGACAUUUUUACUCUUCAAUAUCUAAUGGAAGUUUGAUUGAGUAGUAGUAGAAUUUUCUUUCCUUUUUCACAAACUACCCAUGAUUUAUUUUUCUACUUUGAUAAUAGUUUUAUUGUCUAUGACUUUUUAUAAUUCUGUUGAAAAAAAACAUUCACUGCCAUAUAGCAUUUCAAGCUUUCGGAAACUUGGUGAAACCACGUCUGUGUUUUUGUUUUUUUGUGUGUAACUUUGACAGGAAAAAUUCCCUCGAGGCUUUUCAAUAUCAAUAUUUGAAAUUUCUGGGAGUUGAAUUCCCUCGGAAAAAUUCUGUGUGUAACUUUUUGGAAAAAUUCUCUUUAUCAGCUUUAGGUGCCUUAGCAAGAGCCGGUGCAUGAGCUAUAGCUUCCGGCUUAACAAAAUCCAAACGAAUAAGAACCUUAUCAACAUGAUAUAUAUCAAGUGUUUUAUCAGUAUACACACUUCCAUUGAUGGUUGCAUCAAGAACGCCCGUUGAUAUAUUCACACUGUUACCAUAAAAUUGAAGAAAAAAUGUCUCACAGAAAGUUUGAGCAUCCGAGACACGGUUCUUUAAGUUGCUUUGUUGUGUUUUCAAUUUCACUUGAUUUCGUUUUUAAAUCCACUGCCUUUUCUCAAAUAUAAUAAACUUAUAUCUUACAAAAUUAAUAGUUAUUUUUCGACUUUGUUUUCAACUUCUUCUCAAUCAACACGAUAUCCUUAACAAAGGAUGUUGCUAACACUUGUAUGAACUAUGAAGUCAAAUCUUUUAUAAAACCUGCUUUUUGUUGUUGCAAUCACGUAUCAGGGGUGUUUAAAGUCUGCAACAUUCUGUUGAGUAGAAGGUGAUGUUAAAUACCUAGCACUGGUUUGACAGUUACAAAUUUUAUAUUUUACUAUAAUGAACUCAUGUGAUUGUACAUCACCGUUUUGAUACUUAGAGUUCUUUGUAGAUUAAUGGUUUUUAUGUACAUUA
This is a long non-coding RNA of Vicia villosa (hairy vetch), 1327 nucleotides long. RefSeq lists it as uncharacterized. Lineage: Eukaryota; Viridiplantae; Streptophyta; Magnoliopsida; Fabales; Fabaceae. The record is from RefSeq and is a predicted model, not a curated record. The transcript has 4 exons.